GUGUCAGCAGCCGCGGUAAUACGUAGGGUGCGAGCGUUAAUCGGAAUUACUGGGCGUAAAGCGUGCGCAGGCGGUUGUGCAAGACAGAUGUGAAAUCCCCGGGCUUAACCUGGGAAUUGCAUUUGUGACUGCACGGCUAGAGUGUGUCAGAGGGGGGUAGAAUUCCACGUGUAGCAGUGAAAUGCGUAGAUAUGUGGAGGAAUACCGAUGGCGAAGGCAGCCCCCUGGGAUAACACUGACGCUCAGGCACGAAAGCGUGGGGAGCAAACAGGAUUAGAUACCCUGGUAGUCCACGCCCUAAACGAUGUCUACUAGUUGUCGGGUCUUAAUUGACUUGGUAACGCAGCUAACGCGUGAAGUAGACCGCCUGGGGAGUACGGUCGCAAGAUUAAAACUCAAAGGAAUUGGCGGGG
This 413-nucleotide ribosomal RNA is filed under the name uncultured prokaryote. RNAcentral describes it as "bacterial SSU rRNA". It matches the Rfam family "Bacterial small subunit ribosomal RNA", at positions 505 to 918 of the family's 1533-position model. The record is from RNAcentral.